This 392-nucleotide ribosomal RNA is filed under the name uncultured bacterium. RNAcentral describes it as "partial 16S ribosomal RNA". It matches the Rfam family "Bacterial small subunit ribosomal RNA", at positions 523 to 918 of the family's 1533-position model. The record is from RNAcentral.
AUACGGAGGAUGCGAGCGUUAUCCGGAUUUAUUGGGUUUAAAGGGAGCGUAGGCGGGAGCUUAAGUCAGCGGUUAAAUGGUGCGGCUCAACCGUGCCCUGCCGUUGAAACUGGGUUUCUUGAGAGUGCAAGAGGCGGAUGGAAUCCAUGGUGUAGCGGUGAAAUGCUUAGAUAUCAUGAAGAACUCCGAUUGCGAAGGCAGUCCGCUGGGGCACGUCUGACGCUGAUGCUCGAAGGUGCGGGAAUCAAACAGGAUUAGAUACCCUGGUAGUCCGCACGGUAAACGAUGAUUACCCGCUGUCGGCGGCAGACAGUCGGCGGCCAAGCGAAAGCGAUAAGUAAUCCACCUGGGGAGUACGCCGGCAACGGUGAAACUCAAAUGAAUUGACGGGG